RNAcentral lists this transfer RNA (50 nucleotides) under Paraboea acutifolia. RNAcentral's name for it is "partial tRNA-Leu". The record is from RNAcentral. Lineage: Eukaryota; Viridiplantae; Streptophyta; Magnoliopsida; Lamiales; Gesneriaceae.
AAAAYYCGUCGACUUUAAAAAUCGUGAGGGUUCAAGUCCCUCUAUCCCCA